This is a small nuclear RNA of Aotus nancymaae (Ma's night monkey), 164 nucleotides long. Its record names the gene U1. It matches the Rfam family "U1 spliceosomal RNA". Rfam says of the family: U1 is a small nuclear RNA (snRNA) component of the spliceosome (involved in pre-mRNA splicing). Its 5' end forms complementary base pairs with the 5' splice junction, thus defining the 5' donor site of an intron. The record is from Ensembl. NCBI's taxonomy places the organism in Eukaryota, Metazoa, Chordata, Mammalia, Primates, Aotidae.
AUACUUACCUGGCAGGGGAGAUAGCAUGAUCACGAAGGUGGUUUCCCCAGGGCGAGGCUUAUCCUUUGCACUCUGGAUGUGCUGACCCCUGCGAUUUCCCCACAGGUGGGAAACUUGACUGCAUAAUUUGUGGGAGUGGGAGACUGCAUUCACGCUUUCCCCUG